RNAcentral lists this transfer RNA (73 nucleotides) under Pestalotiopsis fici. RNAcentral's name for it is "tRNA-Asp". It matches the Rfam family "tRNA". From Rfam's summary of the family: Transfer RNA (tRNA) molecules are approximately 80 nucleotides in length. Their secondary structure includes four short double-helical elements and three loops (D, anti-codon, and T loops). The record is from RNAcentral. RNAcentral also lists the same sequence under 1 other name. Lineage: Eukaryota; Fungi; Ascomycota; Sordariomycetes; Amphisphaeriales; Sporocadaceae.
GAAUCAGUAACUUAAUUGGUAAAGGACUCUCCUGUCACGAGAGUAGAUAUCGGUUCGAGACCGUUCUGAUUCG